GCAAGUCGAGCGGAUGAAGGGAGCUUGCUCCCGGAUUCAGCGGCGGACGGGUGAGUAAUGCCUAGGAAUCUGCCUGGUAGUGGGGGACAACGUUCCGAAAGGAGCGCUAAUACCGCAUACGUCCUACGGGAGAAAGUGGGGGAUCUUCGGACCUCACGCUAUCAGAUGAGCCUAGGUCGGAUUAGCUAGUAGGUGGGGUAAUGGCUCACCUAGGCGACGAUCCGUAACUGGUCUGAGAGGAUGAUCAGUCACACUGGAACUGAGACACGGUCCAGACUCCUACGGGAGGCAGCAGUGGGGAAUAUUGGACAAUGGGCGAAAGCCUGACUUAGCCAUGCCGCGUGUGUGAAGAAGGUCUUCGGAUUGUAAAGCACUUUAAGUUGGGAGGAAGGGCAGUAAGUUAAUACCUUGCUGUUUUGACGUUACCAACAGAAUAAGCACCGGCUAACUUCGUGCCAGCAGCCGCGGUAAUACGAAGGGUGCAAGCGUUAAUCGGAAUUACUGGGCGUAAAGCGCGCGUAGGUGGUUUGGUAAGAUGGAUGUGAAAUCCCCGGGCUCAACCUGGGAACUGCAUCCAUAACUGCCUGACUAGAGUACGGUAGAGGGUGGUGGAAUUUCCUGUGUAGCGGUGAAAUGCGUAGAUAUAGGAAGGAACACCAGUGGCGAAGGCGACCACCUGGACUGAUACUGACACUGAGGUGCGAAAGCGUGGGGAGCAAACAGGAUUAGAUACCCUGGUAGUCCACGCCGUAAACGAUGUCGACUAGCCGUUGGGAUCCUUGAGAUCUUAGUGGCGCAGCUAACGCGAUAAGUCGACCGCCUGGGGAGUACGGCCGCAAGGUUAAAACUCAAAUGAAUUGACGGGGGCCCGCACAAGCGGUGGAGCAUGUGGUUUAAUUCGAAGCAACGCGAAUAACCUUACCUGGCCUUGACAUGUCCGGAAUCUUGCAGAGAUGCGAGAGUGCCUUCGGGAAUCGGAACACAGGUGCUGCAUGGCUGUCGUCAGCUCCUGUCGUGAUAUGUUGGGUUAAGUCCCGUAACGAGCGCGGCCCUUGUCCUUACUUAGCAGCACGUUAUGGUGGGCACUCUAAUGAGACUGCCGGUGACAUACCCGACGAACGUGAGGAUGACUUCAAGUCGUCAUGGCCCUUACUGCCACGGCUACACACGUGCUAUAAUGGUCGCUACAUAGGGUUGCCC
This 1200-nucleotide ribosomal RNA is filed under the name Pseudomonas sp. RNAcentral describes it as "bacterial SSU rRNA". It matches the Rfam family "Bacterial small subunit ribosomal RNA", at positions 57 to 1252 of the family's 1533-position model. The record is from RNAcentral. Lineage: Bacteria; Pseudomonadati; Pseudomonadota; Gammaproteobacteria; Pseudomonadales; Pseudomonadaceae.